Molecule: long non-coding RNA, 588 nt
Organism: Schistocerca piceifrons (Central American locust)
Lineage: Eukaryota; Metazoa; Arthropoda; Insecta; Orthoptera; Acrididae
Exons: 2
Source: RefSeq, a predicted model, not a curated record
ACGUUUGAGGAAAAUAAUCUGUCGUUAUUCUCUGCCCUGUCUGUUUUUAACCAACAGAUUUAUUAAUUUCGUAAAUGUCAUUCAAACCAUUUUUACAAAUAAUAAUGAUGAUGAUAUGUUUGUUUGUCACGGAGUAGCUAUGGAGGAAAUACAUGCUGCAGUGUUUCACAUAUGUAAAACGUCCUUCAUGUGGUGCAAAGUAAUUUUGAUGCCCUUUGGAAGUAUAGUGAACAUUGGUGCUUGUUUCACUUAUAUUGUCUGAGUUCUGAAACUGAAGUGUCAAGUAUACUGUGGUUCCACUUUCUCCAAACAAUUUAUUCUUUUAGGCUGGCACAGCUGAGACCAAUUGUGGACGUUUUUUGUAACAUGCCUUCUAACUAUCUGGCAAAAUUUAACACCUAAGAAGAUAUUAAUUUAACAUUCACUCCAAAAAGUCUGAACAUUAUGUCUGUUUGCAUAAUCUAUUGUAAAUCUAUUGUAAUUUCACAGUUGUGCCUUGGAAUCAAUUUUUAAUGUGCUGGAAAAACUUUUGAACUGUACAUAUAUACUUCGCCACAAUAUGAAUAAAGAGGCACUUCUGCUUUUUAA